GCCCGUGUGGCCUAGUGGUUAUGGCGGUCGCCUCACAAUACUUCAAUGAGAUUAUCGCGACAGGUCCAAGGUUCGACCCCCCUGACGUGGGCA
Non-coding RNA from Lasiosphaeria hispida, 93 nucleotides. Lineage: Eukaryota; Fungi; Ascomycota; Sordariomycetes; Sordariales; Lasiosphaeriaceae. The record is from the annotation of a GenBank genome assembly.